RNAcentral lists this long non-coding RNA (3286 nucleotides) under Pelobates cultripes (western spadefoot toad). The record is from RNAcentral. Lineage: Eukaryota; Metazoa; Chordata; Amphibia; Anura; Pelobatidae.
GUCAUAUAUCAAAAGGCAGUAUAAGGGGGGUACAGAAUAAAGAAGGGAAGGUGGGGAAGGAUGUAGGCAACGUUGUUUACACGUAAAUUGUUUUCGUCUCGGAUAUGUACAGUAUAUGUUUCACAUUUCACAUCACUUGUUCCACAUUUCAAAUGUUAGCGUAUACAAUAUUACCCAUUACACUUUAAACGGUCAUGUUUUCCCAAUCCGUAUUUGCUGCCUGUCUCUGAGUCGCAGGUGUGGUAUGGAGUACUGGUCGUAACAUCGCCACUGUUGUGGUUGGAUCCGUGGGUGAAUUGCUUUACGGCACGUGUAUUGUGUCAUUCUCUCUUAUCCCUUGCGUGUUGUUCUGGCCCCCUGUCCCUGCGUACUGGUCUCCUUAGGGGAGACUGGGUUUUACCCCCACAGGAUCUUGCGUACUGUGGUUGCUUGGUAGCGUCUGGGCUGGGAGUACAUGAGCCACUAGCGGGAUGCUCACUAGAGCGGUUAUCUAUAUACACUUACACAUAUUGAGUUGUAGCGCAAAAAAUGGAGUGGGGGGGUGGGGGUAGGGUGUGCUGAAAAGUGAAGGGAAGGGUUUAAGGGAAGGAAAGGGAAGAGAUUCCGUGUAUGGAUCUCUUGAACCGGUGCUCCUCUUUGUCCUCUCCCUAGACCUAUGUUCCUAGUUGCUAGUUCCGCCUCUCUACCUCUAGUGUAUCAUCGACUCUAUGCGUUAGGACCUCCUCCCGGGUCAAGUCACCUACGUUCCCUGUCUCUCUUGCUUUGGUUCUCUACUCAAGCCUUCGUGUCUUAGCGUACCUAUACGUCUUGAGUCCCAGAGUGGUGUGCACUUUUCUGAAUGUAAUUUGCCCAUUUGAUUUUUGUGUCUAUGAUCGUGCGGUUAUUUGUAAUGUAUUUAUUUGCCAUAGCUUCAUAUUCCCAGUUUGUGGAUAUUUGUGUUAGGAGAUCGUGUCUGCUGGGCGCUCGUGGUUGUUUCCACUGUCUGGCUAUCAGGGUUACUGCCGCUAUAAGCACCUGGAAUAUCAAUUGUCUUUCCUGCUUGCGCCAGAGGGCAAGAUGCAUGAAUAGUAUACCCUGUUCAGGUCCCAAGCUGUAUGGGCGGCCUAUUACGUCAGUGAUUAUCCCCUCCACCAUCUCCCAGUAGGGAGUGAUUAUCGGGCACGUCCACCAAAUGUGGUACAUUGUUCCCCUUUCUCCGCAACCCCUCCAGCAUUCCCCUGAGCUUCCCGGGUAUAUUUUUGCUAGUUUGUCUGGGACCAUAUACCAUCUGUACAUAAUUUUCCUCAUUGUUUCUAGGUGGGUCGCGCAUGAUGUGUGUCCUUUGUGUGUUUGGAAUGCCUGUUUCCAGUCUAGGUCCGCUAUUGGUCGCCCUAUGUCCUUCUGCCAGGCUUCUCUAAAGUCUCCGUGUCCAUUUGUAUCUACUGUAUUCAGUAGCGCAUAAAGUUUUGACAGGAUUUUUUUGGGUAUACUGCCCUGUAAGCAUAUUUGUUCUAAGGCACCAAUGUUUGGCGGUUCGGUGCCCGAAUCUUUACCGUGUGAGGCCACAAAUGAUUUCAGUUGGAGGUAAGGGAAUAUGUGUCUGGAGUGCAAGGAGAACUUGGUUUGCAGUGUCGGGAAUGGCAGUAACUCGUUGUUCACGCAGAUCUGGCUAAGGUGGGUACAACCCCCUCUCACCCAGGGAGCGUGGUCAAACGUCGGUAUGCCCACCGAUAUGCUCGUGAGUGGGAUGUUCCUUAUGUUUGGUCCGACCAUGCCCAGUGAUGCCCUCACUGCGUCCCAUGUCUUGAUCAUUGCUGCCGUGGUUGGUAACAUGGUUGUGUACGGCGGUCGUAAUCUGUGCGGCAGCUGGUAUAAGUGUCGCAGCCCCUGUUUGCAUGCCCAGUGUGCUUCUAUGUGGACCCACUGGGGGGGGUCUUCUACUACGUUUGUCGCUGCUGUGGCAGUCAGCAGUGUGGCUCUGUGGUAAGAACGAAUGUUGGGCAUGCCCAAUCCCCCUUCUUUAACAGGUUUUUGUAAGAGUUUGCUGGCUACCCUCACCUUGCGGUUGGCCCACACAAACCGUACGAUCAGUUUUUGAAUUGUGCUCACAUAUAGACCUGGCAGACUAAUCGGGACUGUGCGCAGCAGAUAUUGGAGUUUGGGAAGUAUAGACAUCUUAAUCGCCGCCAGUCUGCCCAGCCAUGAGAGAUAUUUGCCCUCCCAUGUGUGUAACGUGUCUGUAAAUGAUUUGAUCAGUUUGGUAAAGUUUAGCUUGAACAAAUGGGGUAGGUGGGGGGGUAUAUGUACGCCCAAGAAGGUAAUAUAAUCUUUUCUCCAGUCAAAGGAGAAAAGCCCACUCAAGUGUUUCAGCCGAUAAGAUUGGACUCCCACUCCCAUAGCCUGUGAUUUAGUGACAUUCAAUUUGUAAUAGGAGUUAAGGCCGUAUUCUUUAAUGUCCUUCAUAAGGUUCGGUAGUGAAAUUUGGGGUUGCGUUAAUGUCAACAUGACAUCGUCCGCAAACAAAUUGAUUUUGUAUUCCCUAUCGCCCACUGUUACUCCAUGUAUGGAGCUGUUGGCCCGUAUUGUCUCUGCUAACGGCUCUAAAGCCAACACAUAUAGUAAGGGAGAGAGUGGGCAUCCCUGCCUCGUCCCGUUGGUGAUGUUAAAGGGUUCCGAUGUGAAGCCCGCAGUGACCACCUGAGCCGAUGGUUUGCUGUAUAAGGCCUCCACCGCCGAGCAGAAUGCCCUCGGCAUCCCAAACUUAUCCAGGACCGCUUUCAGGAACAUCCAGCUCAGGCGGUCGAAGGCCUUCUCCGCGUCCAAUGAAAGCGUUACACAUUCUGUUUGUUGCCUGUGUACGCUGUGUAUAAUGUCGAUGACCUUUCUCGUGUUGUCCCCCCCUUGUCUCCCUUUAACAAAUCCGACUUGAUCAUUCCUUAUCAGGUGCGGGAGGAUUGUGCCCAACCUAAUGGCGUAAAUUUUCGCGAAGAGUUUUGUGUCAGUGUUUAGCAACGAUAUUGGUCGAAAAUUUUGUGGGUGGAUUGGUGGUUUGCCCGGUUUAGGCAAUGUUAUGAUAUGGGCUUUGAGGGCUUCUGGCGGGAGUGCGUGCCUCUUGGCUGCUUCAUUAAACGCGUUAGUAAGGUGAGGGGCUAGGGUUUUUUGGAAGUGCUUGUAGUAACAGUUGGCAAACCCGUCUGGGCCUGGGGCUUUAUCGGAAGGUAGAGAGUCAAUUGCUCUCACCACCUCUGUUUCUGUUAUCAAUGUGGCUAGGCUGUCUUGUUGAGCGGGUGUGAGUUUGGGCAGUGCG